CUUCCAGGAAAAGCCUCUAAGCUUCAGAUAGUCAGGAAUCGUACCCCAAACCGACACAGGUGGUCGGGUAGAGAAUACCAAGGCGCUUGAGAGAACUCGGGUGAAGGAACUAGGCAAAAUGGUACCGUAACUUCGGGAGAAGGUACGCUCUUGAUGGUGAAGUCCCUCGCGGAUGGAGCUGACGAGAGUCGCAGAUACCAGGUGGCUGCAACUGUUUAUUAAAAACACAGCACUGUGCAAAAUCGCAAGAUGACGUAUACGGUGUGACGCCUGCCCGGUGCCGGAAGGUUAAUUGAUGGGGUUAGCGCAAGCGAAGCUCUUGAUCGAAGCCCCGGUAAACGGCGGCCGUAACUAUAACGGUCCUAAGGUAGCGAAAUUCCUUGUCGGGUAAGUUCCGACCUGCACGAAUGGCGUAAUGAUGGCCACGCUGUCUCCACCCGAGACUCAGUGAAAUUGAAAUCGCUGUGAAGAUGCAGUGUACCCGCGGCUAGACGGAAAGACCCCGUGAACCUUUACUACAGCUUGGCACUGAACAUUGAACCUACAUGUGUAGGAUAGGUGGGAGGCUAUGAAGACGUGACGCCAGUUGCGUUGGAGCCGUCCUUGAAAUACCACCCUUGUAUGUUUGAUGUUCUAACGUUGGCCCCUAAUCGGGGUUGCGGACAGUGCCUGGUGGGUAGUUUGACUGGGGCGGUCUCCUCCCAAAGAGUAACGGAGGAGCACGAAGGUGGGCUAAUCACGGUUGGACAUCGUGAGGUUAGUGCAAUGGCAUAAGCCCGCUUAACUGCGAGAAUGACGGUUCGAGCAGGUGCGAAAGCAGGUCAUAGUGAUCCGGUGGUUCUGUAUGGAAGGGCCAUCGCUCAACGGAUAAAAGGUACUCCGGGGAUAACAGGCUGAUACCGCCCAAGAGUUCAUAUCGACGGCGGUGUUUGGCACCUCGAUGUCGGCUCAUCACAUCCUGGGGCUGAAGUCGGUCCCAAGGGUAUGGCUGUUCGCCAUUUAAAGUGGUACGCGAGCUGGGUUUAGAACGUCGUGAGACAGUUCGGUCCCUAUCUGCCGUGGGCGUUGGAAGAUUGAAGGGGGCUGCUCCUAGUACGAGAGGACCGGAGUGGACGAACCUCUGGUGUUCGGGUUGUGUCGCCAGACGCAUUGCCCGGUAGCUAAGUUCGGAAUUGAUAAGCGCUGAAAGCAUCUAAGCGCGAAGCGAGCCCUGAGAUGAGUCUUCCCUGAUACUUU
Molecule: ribosomal RNA, 1236 nt
Filed under: Vibrio cholerae
Lineage: Bacteria; Pseudomonadati; Pseudomonadota; Gammaproteobacteria; Vibrionales; Vibrionaceae
Description: partial 23S ribosomal RNA
Rfam family: Bacterial large subunit ribosomal RNA
Source: RNAcentral